Molecule: long non-coding RNA, 1469 nt
Filed under: Heterocephalus glaber (naked mole-rat)
Lineage: Eukaryota; Metazoa; Chordata; Mammalia; Rodentia; Bathyergidae
Description: lncRNA (ENSHGLG00100035129.1)
Source: RNAcentral
UAUCACUAAGACUCUAAAUUGCCCAGGCUUGGCUUGAACUUGGCAGUUCUCCUGCCUCAGCUUUCCAGAGUGCUGAGAUUACAGGCUGUGUACUACCCUGCCUGCCUCAGUUUUGUUUUUAUGUUUAAUCAUAUCCUUUGCCACUGAAAAAUGGUUUAAAGUACUUUCUUGUUUUUUAAGUUUAUACUUUGUUUACCUUGGUGUACAUUGUUGAGGCUUAUAAUUUUUGCUAGUCUUUCAAACUUUUUUUUUUACUGAUUUGUGUUUAAUGUUUACCACUUUUUAUUUUGUUUUAUUUUAGAGGAAACCUUUCAUUAUAAACAUUAUAAAAUGCCAUACAAAAUGUAUAUGCUUUAAAGUUAAAUAGGAAUUUUUAAAGAUUAAAUUAUUUGUGUAGCUUGUUAGGAGGUUCCAGCUAGUAACAAUAAACGUAGGUUACAUGUCCAUGAAAAUUUUAAAAUGGUACAGUGUUAAAGUCUUAUAGUGUUAUUUUUUCUGACUUUUGCCAGUUCAUUUACUGACAGAUACUAUUGCUUAUACUGAAGUAAGAUAGUUGAGUAUUUUUGAAUACUUACUAAGUGUUAAUACUCUAUAAAAUUUUUUAAAUAUCUUCUCAGAUGUGACUGUGGAGCAAAGAUAAUUGAUUUCAUUUCAGUAUAUAGUUGCAUUUUGAACUUUAGCUUGGUGGAAUUGAUUGUAUGAGAAAAUUUGUGGUUAAAAUUAGUAAGAGAUAAAACCCUCAGCAGGUUAUUCUUGCCAAGUUAAUGUUUGUAGUGAUGGGGUAAAGGGGUUUAUGUACCAGAAGAAGUUAAUAAGGGUCUGGGAAAAAGGAAGAAGGCUGCAGUGCUGUGACUAGAAUAUCAAAGUUCUAUCUUGCAUCAGUAUUUUCAUUUUACUUCAUCCUUUCGCAUUUGCCCUUGUUAUGAUAUCAGGCUAUUGGUACCUUGAUGCAAAACAUAUUAUAACAAUCUUGAGCACUAGAAAUUGAGGUGGGGGGUGUUCUGUGGUAAGAGUGCUUGCAUACCAUCCAUGAGGUCCUGGUUGGGAACAUAUAAUUUCACUAUUAUAUUUGGUUUAAAGAAUCCACAUUAGUAUUACAUUUUAGUGACAGUAAAUUAUCCCACAAUUUUAAGUUCUCUAAGGUGAAACAAAAAACCAUGGAAUGAGUUCCCCCCAAAAGAAGUGUGUGUGUGUGUGUGUGUGUCUACAUGUACACACAUACAUGUAUUCAUACUUUGCUUUCAAUGUAAGUACCAUGUGCUUUGGUCAUUGAAUUUAGUCUCUUUUCAGUGUUAGAAAUUUAUUUUAUAAAACUGUGCUGAGACUUUUGGAGAAAAAAUGAAACUGCUGUGAUAAAAACUAAGUGUUUCAAAACUAGACAUUUGGUCAUAUUUUCUUUGGAAAUUGCAAUAAUUUAUAUAUUUGUAUCUUGCUUUGGAACUGUAACAAUAUAUGCUUGUCUACUAUUU